RNAcentral lists this ribosomal RNA (200 nucleotides) under uncultured bacterium. Its description in RNAcentral is "partial 16S ribosomal RNA". It matches the Rfam family "Bacterial small subunit ribosomal RNA", at positions 337 to 527 of the family's 1533-position model. The record is from RNAcentral.
UCCUACGGGAGGCAGCAGUGGGGAAUUUUGGACAAUGGGCGAAAGCCUGAUCCAGCAAUGCCGCGUGUGUGAAGAAGGCCUUCGGGUUGUAAAGCACUUUUGUCCGGAAAGAAAUGGCUCUGGUUAAUACCCGGAGUUGAUGACGGUACCGGAAGAAUAAGGACCGGCUAACUACGUGCCAGCAGCCGCGGUAAUAAUCU